This is a non-coding RNA of Periconia macrospinosa, 82 nucleotides long. NCBI's taxonomy places the organism in Eukaryota, Fungi, Ascomycota, Dothideomycetes, Pleosporales, Periconiaceae. The record is from the annotation of a GenBank genome assembly.
GGGCGUGUAGCUCAGUGGUAGAGCGCCCGCUUUGCAUCUCGAAGCCUGCGGGAGGUCUAGGGUUCGAUCCCCUACCCGUCCA